GACAGAGGUGCCAAGCGUUAUCCGGAUUCACUGGGUUUAAAGGGUGCGUAGGUGGGUUGGUAAGUCAGUGGUGAAAUCCCCGAGCUUAACUUGGGAACUGCCAUUGAUACUAUCAGUCUUGAAUAUUGUGGAGGUCAGCGGAAUAUGUCAUGUAGCGGUGAAAUGCUUAGAUAUGACAUAGAACACCAAUUGCGAAGGCAGCUGGCUACGCAUAUAUUGACACUGAGGCACGAAAGCGUGGGGAUCAAACAGG
This 253-nucleotide ribosomal RNA is filed under the name uncultured bacterium. RNAcentral's name for it is "partial 16S ribosomal RNA". It matches the Rfam family "Bacterial small subunit ribosomal RNA", at positions 524 to 776 of the family's 1533-position model. The record is from RNAcentral.